Molecule: ribosomal RNA, 493 nt
Filed under: Idiomarina loihiensis
Lineage: Bacteria; Pseudomonadati; Pseudomonadota; Gammaproteobacteria; Alteromonadales; Idiomarinaceae
Description: bacterial SSU rRNA
Rfam family: Bacterial small subunit ribosomal RNA
Source: RNAcentral
UUUAGAGUUUGAUCCCUGCUCAGAUUGAACGCUGGCGGCAGGCCUAACACAUGCAAGUCGAGCGGUAACAGAGAGAAGCUUGCUUCUCUGCUGACGAGCGGCGGACGGGUGAGUAAUACUUGGGAAUUUGCCUUUAGGCGGGGGACAACCACGGGAAACUGUGGCUAAUACCGCAUAAUGUCUACGGACCAAAGUGGGGGACCUUCGGGCCUCACACCUAAAGAUGAGCCCAAGCGGGAUUAGCUAGUUGGUGGGGUAAAGGCUCACCAAGGCGACGAUCCCUAGCUGUUCUGAGAGGAUGAUCAGCCACACUGGGACUGAGACACGGCCCAGACUCCUACGGGAGGCAGCAGUGGGGAAUAUUGCACAAUGGGGGAAACCCUGAUGCAGCCAUGCCGCGUGUGUGAAGAAGGCCUUCGGGUUGUAAAGCACUUUCAGCGACGAGGAAGGGUGUUGUAUUAAUAGUGCAGCACAUGACGUUAGUCGCAGAAGA